ACAGAUCAGUGAUGAAUAGUCAUUGAUUUAACCUUGCCCAAAGAGAGAUCUAGCUUUGUCUUCAUGUCCAGGGGGAAAACCUCUACAAAGAAUGUCUAUGUAGGACCAUGGCUACCAGAGAGUCUAACAAUGGGAUUUAUGAUGUAGGCUUUGAGCUAUGUGGUGUCAUUUCUCCUCCAGAGAGACAGGAGUCCAAAGGUAUCAGCUCUCCCUCCUGAGAAGCUGGAAAUUAAAGGUCAACCACAUGGCAGCCAACCCAGAGCCCAAUAAAAGUUCUGGACACCAAGAUUCGGUUCUGGAGCACUAAUACUGGAUCACAGAUACCAUCAAAGACCUGCCGUUGGCCUCCACUACAUAGGUGUAGGAGAGGACCCUACACUUUCCUAGAGGACCUCCUUCCCGGCCAUCCCGCUGCCGUCUCUACUUCCUCAAUGCAAUUUUCUUUAACUUUUCCAAUUUCUAAUCACGCUUCAAUUUUCCUACUAUAACAUUAGAACAUAUGUUCUUGAUCCACUACUGUUAACACUUUUAAAAAGGUAUUCCUGUCACCCAGUAAAGUGAUAGGCAUUUUUUAAAAUUAAUAAAUACUCUGUUGAUUGUGUCCUUUGA
This is a long non-coding RNA of Suricata suricatta (meerkat), 609 nucleotides long. RefSeq lists it as uncharacterized. NCBI's taxonomy places the organism in Eukaryota, Metazoa, Chordata, Mammalia, Carnivora, Herpestidae. The record is from RefSeq and is a predicted model, not a curated record. The transcript has 2 exons.